GGUAAGGUGGCUGAGCGUUUAGCGGUGGAUUGUAGCCCCAUGGACAGAGGUUAAAGUCCUCUUCUUACCA
RNAcentral lists this transfer RNA (70 nucleotides) under Oryzias curvinotus. RNAcentral's name for it is "tRNA-Tyr". It matches the Rfam family "tRNA". Rfam says of the family: Transfer RNA (tRNA) molecules are approximately 80 nucleotides in length. Lineage: Eukaryota; Metazoa; Chordata; Actinopteri; Beloniformes; Adrianichthyidae. The record is from RNAcentral.